CCUUGUACACACCGCCCGUCACACCACGAGAGUUUGUAACACCCGAAGUCGGUGAGGUAACCUUUCGAGGAGCCAGCCGCCGAAGGUGGGACAGAUGAUUGGGGUG
RNAcentral lists this ribosomal RNA (106 nucleotides) under uncultured bacterium. Its description in RNAcentral is "partial 16S ribosomal RNA". It matches the Rfam family "Bacterial small subunit ribosomal RNA", at positions 1379 to 1482 of the family's 1533-position model. The record is from RNAcentral.